AGAGUUUGAUCAUGGCUCAGAACGAACGCUGGCGGCAGGCCUAACACAUGCAAGUCGAACGUGAAGCCACCUUCGGGUGGUGGAAAGUGGCAGUCGGGUGAGUAACGCGUGGGAAUCUACCCAAUGGUACGGAAUAACUCAGGGAAACUUGAGCUAAUACCGUAUGUGCCCGAAAGGGGAAAGAUUUAUCGCCAUUGGAUGAGCCCGCGUCUGAUUAGCUAGUUGGUGGGGUAAUGGCCCACCAAGGCGACGAUCAGUAGCUGGUCUGAGAGGAUGAUCAGCCACACUGGGACUGAGACACGGCCCAGACUCCUACGGGAGGCAGCAGUGGGGAAUAUUGGACAAUGGGCGCAAGCCUGAUCCAGCCAUGCCGCGUGAGUGAUGAAGGCCCUAGGGUUGUAAAGCUCUUUCGGCGGGGACGAUAAUGACGGUACCCGCAGAAGAAGCCCCGGCUAACUUCGUGCCAGCAGCCGCGGUAAUUC
RNAcentral lists this ribosomal RNA (482 nucleotides) under uncultured bacterium. RNAcentral describes it as "bacterial SSU rRNA". It matches the Rfam family "Bacterial small subunit ribosomal RNA", at positions 8 to 526 of the family's 1533-position model. The record is from RNAcentral.